Molecule: ribosomal RNA, 497 nt
Filed under: uncultured bacterium
Lineage: Bacteria
Description: partial 16S ribosomal RNA
Rfam family: Bacterial small subunit ribosomal RNA
Source: RNAcentral
GAUGAACGCUGGCGGCGUGCCUAGUACAUGCAAGUCGAGCGAACAGACGAGGAGCUUGCUCCUCUGACGUUAGCGGCGGACGGGUGAGUAACACGUGGAUAACCUACCUAUAAGACUGGGAUAACUUCGGGAAACCGGAGCUAAUACCGGAUAAUAUAUUGAACCGCAUGGUUCAAUAGUGAAAGACGGUUUUGCUGUCACUUAUAGAUGGAUCCGCGCCGCAUUAGCUAGUUGGUAAGGUAACGGCUUACCAAGGCGACGAUGCGUAGCCGGCCUGAGAGGGUGAUCGGCCACACUGGAACUGAGACACGGUCCAGACUCCUACGGGAGGCAGCAGUAGGGAAUCUUCCGCAAUGGGCGAAAGCCUGACGGAGCAACGCCGCGUGAGUGAUGAAGGUCUUCGGAUCGUAAAACUCUGUUAUUAGGGAAGAACAAAUGUGUAAGUAACUAUGCACGUCUUGACGGUACCUAAUCAGAAAGCCACGGCUAACUACGUG